This 74-nucleotide transfer RNA is filed under the name Thalassospira xiamenensis. RNAcentral's name for it is "tRNA_Val_GAC". It matches the Rfam family "tRNA". Rfam says of the family: Transfer RNA (tRNA) molecules are approximately 80 nucleotides in length. The record is from RNAcentral. Lineage: Bacteria; Pseudomonadati; Pseudomonadota; Alphaproteobacteria; Rhodospirillales; Thalassospiraceae.
GGGUGUGUAGCUCAGUAGGUUAGAGUACCCGCGUGACAUGCGGGAGGUCACUGGUUCAAACCCAGUCACACCAA